Molecule: unclassified non-coding RNA, 159 nt
Filed under: uncultured Chalara
Lineage: Eukaryota; Fungi; Ascomycota; Leotiomycetes; Helotiales
Description: sequence contains ITS1
Source: RNAcentral
CAGAGAACAUCGCCCUCACGGGUGACUCUCCAACCCUAUGUUAUUAUACCUUUGUUGCUUUGGCGAGCCGCUUCGGCCACCGACUCCGGUUGGUGCGUGCUCGCCAGAGGACCACAAACUCUUGUUUAUUAGUGUCGUCUGAGUACUAUAUAAUAGUUA